This 77-nucleotide non-coding RNA is filed under the name Schistosoma japonicum. Lineage: Eukaryota; Metazoa; Platyhelminthes; Trematoda; Strigeidida; Schistosomatidae. The record is from RNAcentral.
AAUGAGUUAUAUAUAUUUGUAAAAUUCCAAUUUUAAUUUCUACUCAUUGGAAUUUUACAAAUAUAUGUAACUCAUUU